UGCAGGCGGGGGGCGGAGGACCGUCCCGAGGCGAGCGGGCAGGAUAAAACCAAGAAGGAAACAGCUUUCCAAUUCCAGGAGAAGAUUUCAAGUUUUGAAAUAUUUUCCCAUCCUGAAUCAGGACAAACUUGCCUUUCCAAAUAAAUACUUGUUUUGGUCCCCCAAAAUUGAACUGCAAUCAUUUAGAAAAUGAUGAAAUGAUCUACAUGCCAACCUCAGCAAGGUAAUUUUGCUCACAACAAAAUGUGCACGUCCUCCAUUCUGCAAUGUGGCCUGCCCCCUUAGUCAGUGGCCGGUGGAACAGUUUCUAGUAGAACAGCCUCAGAUGACAGUAAAUCCCUGACCACUUCUGCAUUGGGGUGGAGGGAGAUAGCAAUUCAUCCCCCAUCCUGUGGGAUAAAUGAGGACAUCUGGGGAGUCUCAACUCCUAUUUCCCCCCUUCCCUUUGUGAACGAAUAAUACAUAUAGCAGAGUUGGCCUGCUAUUAUUAACAACGACCUCCCUGGACUAUUAAGGAGAAUUGUUGGCCAAGUCCAGGAGGUGACAGCUUUCCCAGAAGACCAGCAACUGAAAUAUGAGGCCUUGAAGCAGAAUGGCAGCAACAGGACAUCUGUGAUGGCAGACACUUGUAUGCAUUUUACAGAGGGAACCAGAGUUUUUGCUGUUUCCAUCAGGGUGCCCACAAUGCUGUCAGUGGAUUUAUUUGUCAUUCCGUCCCCUUCUUGUCUGAAGCUGUGUCUGUCUUUCCAGUUGCAGGAUCCUGAAGAAUUUGAAAUAAUAUUUGGGCAAAGUAACUCUGAUGCAUUCCCUUUCCCGCUCUGUAUGCUUCUUUGUAGAGCAAUGUGCGGUACAAUGUUGCCUUCAAGUGAAAGCAGAGUGGUACUGCAGGCUGGGGAGAUCCUGAGACUACAAGCGUCAGGAAUGAAAGAAAUUGAAUUGGGAACUAAGACCAGAAAAGGCAGAGCUCUGGACCCGAGAGGGAGUCCAUCAACCACAGAGAAAUAGAGAUCCAAGAAAAGCACUGGCUUUUUUAUUAGUUUUAAUAAUCCCCACCACAGUCCAAAAUCUUUUGCAGGACAGUCUGAGAUUAGAAACACUUGGGACUCCUCUUUAGUAACCGGCUGGGUGGCUUAUGGCUGGCUCUGGGAAGGGUUGGUGUGGUCAGGAUGAGUCCAAGAUGAAUUUACUGUCCCACUGGCUCCCCCCCACCUCAGAGCCCCAGCAGCCAGAGUGUGAUGUAGUGACUCUUCCCAGCUCUUCUCUAAUCUUGCACAUUUUCACUGAAGAUGUUUUUGUUUGUAUUAACGUCAGCUGUUUACAGAAGAAAGGAGAAAACGUUUCCCGGAAUUCAGAGAAAAAUGAAUUUUGGAAGACUGUCACCCUGUUAAUCAGCUGGAGUCACUCUGAUUUUCUUUAAUGCCUGGGUGUUGAAACUCUGAGCGGUAGGUGAGAGCCUAGUAUUUUUUUUGGAUGGAUUAUAUUUCUCUUAAAAAAAAAAAAAAGACCUACUUCAGAAUUACCGUAAUGCUGCAAAUUCAUGGAGGUUGUCCUUUUGAGAAGUAGCUCUGUUUUGUGUAAGGGGCAGGUAGGCAUUGAAAUCCAGACCUCUGGCCCUUUUUUUGUGAUUUUGAAGUCCUAGUUUUCUCUCCUUUGUUGCUGUGUGAAAAAUGCAGACAAGCAAAAGGGGGAAGCUGAUUUGUUCUAGAAGGAGAAAGAGUGGAACUGGCUAUAUGCAAGUACAAGAAUGAAUACAUUAAAAAAGGGGUAACACUUUUGUUCCCUGGCCUCUUUCAGUUCUAGUAACCUUUGGGGUUACUUGUAGCAAUAAGUUUGAGAGAAGUUAUUUUUAAGGCACAAUAUUAUCAAUUUGAAAAAAAAAUCUUUUUAUUAUAAUUUAUUAUAAUUACAGGGAGGAUUUGGCCAUGUCAUUUGAUUCUCACUUGCUCUAGAAUGGCAAGGGAAGGAUGCCUUGUCCUAGCAGUUGUGGCAGAACAGGGGCCAUGUCUCACAGCCCCAGCUUUUUGGUUUCCUGUUGAUGUCUCCCUCAGUUCAGGUUCAGAUC
This is a long non-coding RNA of Alligator sinensis (Chinese alligator), 2062 nucleotides long. RefSeq lists it as uncharacterized. NCBI's taxonomy places the organism in Eukaryota, Metazoa, Chordata, Crocodylia, Alligatoridae. The record is from RefSeq and is a predicted model, not a curated record. The transcript is spliced from 3 exons.